UCAGACAACCGUGCGACCACCCUAGCGAGGUCAAGACCAUGCUAGGUAGCGAUCCUCUACGGCGCAGAGACUCCGAGGAGAAUCGUAGCCGUUAAUCACACUCAAAUCGCACAGCCAUGAAUCAUCAUCAGGUUUUAAAGGCCUGUCUCCUUAGAAAUCAAAGACACAGAAGUUCUCCCUAUAGAACAGAUCCUGUUCAAGUAAGGUCGUGACCACUGAUGCUUCCUAAACAUAUAUAAACAAGCCAACUCUUCUUUGAGUUUCCGAUGUGGGACUGUCGUUUUCCCACUUAUUCAGGAGGAGAUGACUACUACACUCGCGUUUGGAGUAUCAAAUCUGGUCAACUUCUGUCUGAGAAUAAAAUUCUUUAACACAGUUCCUUCAGUUGUGUGUUGGUCUUCUGUUGAAGGGCAAAGAGACUUGAAAGAUGGCGGCAUUGUCCAUGGGGGCAUGGCUUGGAUCGCAUAAAGGGAUAUUCAACAUGUUUUAAGACAUUCACAGCUUAACAAGAGGUUGCAAGAGAUUCAUAUUCCAAUCGAUACCAGCAGCAACCGUCGUGAUCUUGAGGAUACAACAGUUUUCCUUUAGCCUUGUAACAGACUAACAGUAGUAGUAGAAUCAGUUGCUAUGAAAUUGUAGAAAGUUGCUUUGAAAUUGUAGAAACUCCAGUUUUUGAAAGAUAUAACAGCAAAGACUUGCUUGUGGAAUCUAAUCUCGUGUUCAUAGAAAUUGUCAACUAUUUUGACUACGGUCCUCCAUGUCCAUUUUACUCAUAGGGUGAAUUUGCUCAAUAUAUAAUAGAGGAAAGAAUUAAGAAUAUAGCAAUUCUACGGUAGCAUUCGGCAGAUGGAACAAUUUGCACAUAAAUAUGACUGAAAUCUCUUUCUAAGCGCGUGCAAGUGAAGUUAUUGACACUCCAAAAUUAAAGCUAUCAUACUAUAGUCAAUCACACAAACACAAAUGAAUUAACUAGUUACAAGGUUGAGUUUCAUCCACUACGUGACUAUAUUAUACAUGAUUAUGAUAUAGUAUAGAAUACUCGAUACAAUCACAUAAUUUUGUAUAUAUGAAAUUAUUUUUUAUUAAUAAGAUUCAGAAGGUGUAAGAAUACAUAUGAUAUGAAUCAUUAAAUCAUUAAUCACUUGAAUGUUUCUGUAAUAAAAUAGAACUUAACAAAAACACUUUAAAAAAUGAAACAUAUUUAUGUUAUAUUCUAUGUUCCUAUUAAAAUAGAAUAAUGCACUGCAAUUGUAAUUGUUUUUCUCCAGAAGUUAUCAUAUCUGUAGAAAUCAAAGUGGAUUAACAGUUCAUUCAUUGACCUCAUGUAUCGAUCAUUGAUGCAUUCAAUUGAUAUGAACGAAGCCACCGCCGAUCUCUGCUUACCACCAUUGUUGGAGCCAUCGUCGUUACUGCUUAUUCUCAAUGACUCUUUUUUAUUAUUUCAUUCUUCAUGUGAGUUAUAUAUGAGUUAUGUUUAUUUGUAAUCCUUACAUAACAAACAAAAUAUCAAAAAAAUCAUGUGGUUAAUGAAACAUACGCACUGGAUAGUUUUGUCAUUAAUACAUAAUAUAUAGACAAUAUCGUAGCCAUCAACUUGUUAUGUGUAUAGACUUAAUAUUUUUUCCUGUUAUGCACAUGUUCCCUAAUUUCCCUUACUCAUAUAUGUUAGGUUGUUCUUGUGUAAGGCAAACAAAUCAUAAGCUCUUCCACAAUCUCCUCGCUACAAGUCAGAUUUACCGAAGCCUUCUCAUCCAUAUACUUGUCAACUGUUUUUACUUGACUUCAACUUUUCUUGAAUAUCUGUCCACUUAACAAACUCCACAAGUAAAAGAUUCUCAAACUGUUCCCUGUGAAAAAUCAUGAAUAAUUAUGUUUUGAAUGUUAAUACGUGACUAACAAUUGCGUAGCUUAAAAAACAAAUUAAGUGAUGAUUGGUUUAACUCUAGAUAUAGAAUUUUGUUGUAGGAUUCAUUUAGUCUGUAGAUUUUAUUAUUGUAACUGUAUGUUUUUUUUUUCUGUAUAAAAUACCUACUACAACUUUUAAAUCAUUUUAAUAGUUGUUUUAAGAAAAAUAAAUAAAAGAUGGUGUAAUUUUGAUUUUAGGAUUCAUUAAAUUAUUAUAUUCUGAUUGAAAAACAAACACUAUAAAAAUGUUGUAGACUUUAUCAUAACGGGUUAAGAGCUUAAGAUUCUUAAUUUACAGUUGCAUAAAAUUAAAGAAUUUUAUCUUUACAUGUUCAUUCUCAAUAACACUACAAACGAGAACAAUAACUAAUAUUAAAAAAGCGUUGAAAAAAUCAAGUUCUAAUAAUUGUUUGAUUUCAAGUCCGUUUAAGACAGAUUCUUCUUCAGCUAUGGUUUCCAGCUUCGGUUUCUUAGACUUCGAAUUCGAGAUUCUAUGCAUAAACUCCGCCGCCGAAAACUCAUCAAUGUCUUCUAAACUCAUCAGCUUAGAUCCCGCCGACAUCAUCUUGACGUCAUCCUCUCCCUCCGGCGAAAUCCUUCCGUUGUGACAGUGUUUCACGGCUGUUUUGACUCGUCGGCGCUGUUGUUUCUUGGCGGCUAGAAAUAACCGAGCCAUCAUUAAUUCAAAAUAAUCUUCAAUCACUAUGUAAUUUAGAUUAUAUUUGUUCUGUAUAGAAUCUUUAUAUAUAAAGUUAGAUUUUUCUCUUCUUAUGACAAGUGGCAAGGGGGUUUGAUGACAUGUGUCUUUCAUAUUUUUUUUUUACAUUUUAAAUCCUUUUUCUUAUAGAUUAUUGCAAUUUAGCGAAGUACUUUCUAAUUAUGCACUAUUUACUCUUUUAAUAUUAACCAUCUUUGUAUAAAAUUUGAUAAUUUAUUUUAUUGGUCACUAAAAUUCAAGAUGAAUAAAAAAUAAAUAAAUAAAAUAAAUAAAUAAAUAAUUUUAAAUAUUUUUUAUUAUUUUUGUUAUUUUAUCAUUUUCUAUUAUUUUAUGAUGAGAGGAUUCAUGAUGAGGAAGAAGAGAAGCAUGACGAGCAAAACCAAGAUAAACUUAUGUAUGCAGACUCUCACAACAGGAUAUGUAUGAUUCGGGAAGAGGCGGUCGGUAUGGAUAUCGAGGAAGAGGUCGUGGUAGAUUUGGAUAUCAACAAAACAGAUAUUAUAGGCAAGAGAGAGACACAUCAAAGGUUGAGUGUUACCGAUGUGAUAAGAUAGGUCACUUCGCUCAGAACUGCCCUACAACUUCCACAAAUAACCAAACUAAUAAGAAAAAACUAGAAUACAACACAUAAUCUAAACCUACAACUUCCACAACCAAAAGAAAAAAACCAAUUAUACUAUAGUAACACUAACUCAA
Long non-coding RNA from Brassica napus (rape), 3319 nucleotides. RefSeq lists it as uncharacterized. Lineage: Eukaryota; Viridiplantae; Streptophyta; Magnoliopsida; Brassicales; Brassicaceae. The record is from RefSeq and is a predicted model, not a curated record. The transcript has 3 exons.